RNAcentral lists this ribosomal RNA (253 nucleotides) under uncultured bacterium. RNAcentral's name for it is "partial 16S ribosomal RNA". It matches the Rfam family "Bacterial small subunit ribosomal RNA", at positions 524 to 776 of the family's 1533-position model. The record is from RNAcentral.
GACAGAGGUCCCAAGCGUUAGGCGGAAUCACUGGGCUUAAAGCGUGUGUAGGCGGACCUGCAAGUACCUUGUGAAAUCCCAUGGCUCAACCAUGGAACUGCUUGGUAUACUGCUGGUCUUGAGGCAUCUAGAGGCAACUGGAACAAACGGUGGAGCGGUGAAAUGCGUAGAUAUCGUUUGGAACGCCCAAGGUGAAAACAGGUUGCUGGGGAUGUACUGACGCUGAGACACGAAAGCCAGGGGAGCAAACGGG